This is an RNA transcript of Oncorhynchus keta (chum salmon), 5185 nucleotides long. It is a transcript of the gene named olfactory receptor 52E4-like, with no coding region annotated. The record is from RefSeq and is a predicted model, not a curated record. The transcript has 2 exons. NCBI's taxonomy places the organism in Eukaryota, Metazoa, Chordata, Actinopteri, Salmoniformes, Salmonidae.
ACUACUAUACACGUUUACACAUCCAUACCAAACUGCGAGGUGUCAGAAAAAUACUUUGUAGUUGCCAAAGUUCCAGAGCAUGGCAUUAAUACUGGUAAUAAGAAUGUGUUGUUAGGUGUCAUGUUAUACGGCUACAAUUUACAGUGUGAUUUUAUGAAUCCUUAUUAAAAAGCUAUUGUUUAAAAACCCUAAAAAGGUAUUGUUUAUCUUUUAUAUUUCUAAAUACAUAAUGUCUAUUUGUUCGGCCCGUGGCCCACAAGCCCCAAAAGUUUGAGCACUUCGUUUUUUUUAAUGUAAAACAGUUUGGAUAAUGCACACCUACUUUUUUUAUACACGAAAUGUAGCCAUACUAAUUUGUUUUGACAUCCACUAGUGUUUUCCUCUUCAUUGCAUCAUUCCUUUCCCUGGUGGGAAUUAGAGUUUAGGGAUCUUAGAUACAGUAAUUAACCCUUUGUUAUUAGCCUGAUUUGUUCAACGUUACAGUACGUGGUGAUCAGGGCGCUCAUUAGUUCCACUUGUCCUUGUACAGCUUGACCAACAAUGGAAAACAAUGUCAGGUCACUAUCACUUGACCCGCUGUCCAUAUCAGAAGUAUGCACUUGCUCCACUUGGGUUUAAUCUACAGUGAAAUGAUAUCAUUCAAAGAGGGCUUGCAGGCAGGCGGAAACAUUUGUCAUUUCACUGAUCGAGGGCACAACAUGAUAGAUCUAAGGCAUUGUUGAGAGUAUACCAGUACGCCCCUAUGGCACCAUCCAUAAAAUUGUUACAUAUUUAUACACAUUGAGCAUAUAAUGCACAGUCUAGUUUACCGAUAAUUAAACCGCAUAACUUGGUUUAUUGUUGCAUAUCUAUGUACCAUAAGGACUGAAUGCAGCAACCAAUGUACAUUAUCUCAGACACAUACUGGGCUACAGCAGGGUGAAGGCCAGAAUAAUUAAAUCACUUACAGUAUCAGUAUAAAAUAUCAGUAUUUGAUCUUACAGCUAGUCUGGUCCCAAAACUUUUUGUGCUGUCUAUCCAACUCCUAUAUGGAGUAAUUGUCACACCAACCAGCCAUGUUGGCCUGCAUGGUGAGACAAUGAAGACGGUGGAAACAGAUCCAGGACCAGGCUAACAAACAGCUACACAAUAUCAUUCAAAAUCUAGUUGCCAGAUGGCUUCCGUUAGUAAUCCCUCAUAAAAUAUUUUCAAAAUCUUUAAUGCAACUCAAGAUGAGUUGUCAUUUCAAUCAGCCUAAGUAUAGCUCAAGACUAUGAUGUGAAAAUUCACAUGGUGAUAACAAUGGAGGAUCCUCAGAGGAGGAAGGGGAGAACCAUCCUCCUCAGUGAGUUUCGCAAAAAUAAAAAUUGUGAAAUGUUAAAAAAGUUAUAUUCACGUCACCAAAUAAUUAAUUAAAACGAACUGUUUUGCAAUGAAGGUCUAUAGUAGCCUCAACAGCACUCUGUAGGGUAGCACCAUGGUGUAGCCGGAGGACAACAAGUUUCCAUCCUCCUCUGGGUACAUUGACUUCAAUACAAAACCUAAGAGGCUCAUGGUUGUCAUCCCGUUCCAUAGACUUACACAGUAAUUCUGACAACCUCCGCAGGACGUCCUCCAACCUGUCAGAGCUCUUGCUGCAUGAACUGACAUGUUGUCCACCCAAUCAAAAGAUCAGAGAAUGAAUCCAGUAGUGAAAUUAUAAGCUACAGCUAGCUAGCACUGCCCUGCCCUGCAUAAAAUGUGGUGGGUAGCUGACUCAGAGGGAGAAAGACAGUAGUUGAACAGUUUUAAAUUAUUUAAAAAGAAAGGAGAAGCAAGAGAGAGAGAGCGAGAGAGCUAGCUAUAUUUUAUUGUAUUUAGUUCACUUUCACCUACUUAGCUAGCGAAUGCCGCUCGCUAGUUUAGCCCACGCAAACACCAAACAGAGAGGGAUGCUAUGUUAGCUAGCUGGCUAUGGCUAUCCAACACUGGAACUAUUCCAAGUCAAGGUAAGCUUUUGGUUUUAUUCAUUUAUUGCCACUGUGGCCCGCUGGUGUGCCUGCUAAACUGUUUGCUGACUGCGUGAUUGUAGUGGGUUUACUAACACGUUAGUUCUCGUAGUUAUAUUCACUAUGACGUCACUUUAGCUAAUAUGGUGACAACGAUGUAGGCUGUGUGUAGUGGUUAGCUGAUGUGACAGACAGCUGAUGUAUUGUGCACUGAAGUCCACAAGCAAUGGAAAAGAUGAAAGGAGGAGAGCGCGUAGAUGCGAGAAGGAAUUAACAAGCAUGUUUGUAUGUGACUGCUAUGAAAGUGAACUGUGUUUUCGCGUGAUCAAGUGUGUAUUUUUUCAGCCGAUUCUGUUGAAAAAAGUUUCUUAAAAAUGGAAGCAAACGGAACAAAAUGGGGAUAAACAUACCUGAAUUUGUCCAAUAGAAACUUCUAUUUGCAACAGUUGGACUAAUAAUUACACCCUAUAUCAGCUAUAUGCAAGAGUGUGCAAGGCGGUAUUGAAUGUGUCAGUGUCUAUCACCUUGAUUACACUCAUUCUUCUCUUGACCUGUGCACCAACGUUGUAAAUUUUCAUGCAUAGGCUAGGUUGUAACAACCUCAUGAUGGGUAUAGGGAAAAUUAGAGUGUCAUGUAGUAGCCUAAACCUAUGGAUGUUACAUUGAGCUGGGUGAAUGGAAUAUGAAUCACAGUCAUCCAAUAUGCUGUAAUAGAAAUAAAUGGCCCCGACUGCCAUUGGUUAAUAAUCACGUGACUAGGAAGUGUUUCAGAUAAAAAGGAUGUGGCCGAUGCCUGUGGCAGGAUUCUCACUCUCUUCAGCAAGGUAAAGGUAUGGCUUUAGAGGACAACCUUUCUAGAGGUUUUCCUCUUGACUGAUUGCAGCUGUGGUAUUCUUACUCACUCUGUCAAAUGUGUUAUUGAGGUAUUCAAAUCACUAGCAGCACUAAAAGCAGCACUAAAAGCUGUAUUUACAAUUGCUGCCUAUAAUAAUAGUUUUUAUAUAUAUUUGUAUGUCUUCUUUUUUCAGGUUAGCCCUGCGUUGCUAAAAGGAUGGACAACAACAUGUCAUUCCCAAGCCACAUCCUUCAAAUCCAGGGUUUUCAAUUCUCACAGACAUUCAUGUAUCCAUUUUUUUUCUCCAUGCUGUUUGUUUAUCUCUCCCUCCUUGUGUCUAACAUUGGUGUCCUGGUCGUCAUCAUCAAAGAAAGAAAUUUGCACCAACCAAUGUACAUCCUCUUCUGUAACCUGUCUGUAAAUGAUCUGAUUGGCAACACUGUCUUGUUGCCUCGCCUCAUGGCUGACAUUGUUUCAACUGAGAGGUUUAUCACGUACAGCCAAUGUGUUGCUCAGGCCUUUUUCAGUCACACGUUUGGAUCAGCCUCACAUAUGAUACUGAUCAUUAUGGCCUUUGACAGGUAUGUGGCCAUUUGUUACCCGUUAAGGUACACGUCCAUAAUGACAACCAAAACUGUAGUUACGCUGUCUGUGUCUGCUUGGGGGGCUUCCCUUGUGUUAGUGUCUGUCCUACUGGGUCUCACCAUACGGCUUUCCCGAUGCAGUUCAAUCAUUCAGAAUGUUUAUUGUGACAAUGCAUCAUUGUUCAAGCUAUCCUGUGAGGACGUUUCAAUCAACAACAUCUAUGGACUCUUUUUCACUGUGCUGCUCUUUACUUCUUCAAUGGGAAGCAUCGCUGUCACUUAUAUCAGGAUUGCUGUGAUUUGCUGGACCAAGAAAAGCAAGGAGCUGAACAACAGAGCGUUGCAGACCUGUGCAAGCCACCUGGUGGUGUAUCUCAUUAUGCUGUGGAGUGGGUUUCUAACCAUCAUACUGCAUCGCUUUCCAGACUAUCCAUAUUUGAGAAAACUGGCUUCUGUUCUGUUUCAUGUCGUCCCUGCUCAUUUUAAUCCAAUUAUCUACGGCUUGCAAACAAAGUCAUUGAGGCAGAAAAUUACACAAAUACUCUGUCGGAAAGUUACAUACUCAUAAUACAGAUAUUACUUUGUAAAUCAAAUCGACAGGCUUGAUUAUUCUGGUCCUAAAACAGCCAAAAUAAAAUGGUUCGUAUUUCAACACAUACCAGUCUUAAAAGCUGUGUUCAAGGUACUUUUCUAACAUAUUCAUCAUCUAUAGCACCUCAACAUACAGUAUGUGAAAAUGGAGCAUUUCUAUGUGUUGUAGUCAAAAAGAUAGAGGAACAUAAGUGUUUCUGAUGACAUCAUCUCCUGUGUAUCUUGUGAUUUGGACCAAUUAUGUGCAGGCAAUGAGCAGAAAUAGUUGUGGCAGCAAUUGCAAUGUUUCCCUCAAAAGGUUAUGUUUUGCCAUUUUCACAUAUUUUGAUGUUGGGGUGGUGAUGGAGAUGAUGAAUAUGAAGUUUAAAUGAUUGUUUUUAUUACCCUUUAAUGGUUAUGUUCUGUCAGAUAUUAGGAGGUAUGAAUGAGGGAACCGUAAAGGUGACGAUGAGCAUGCGUUGGUAAUCAGGCUUUCCUGUCUGUGCUUAGUCGUUACCUUGUUGCCAGUCAAAAUGGUAUCUCAAUUGAGACCUCUAGUGUCUCUAAGCUGAAAACGCAGAGGGACGUUGCAGGGAUGCUAAAAUCCAAGCCUGAAGGUCUGCAAAUCCAAUUCUGAAGGUCUGCAAAUCCAAGCCUGAAGGUCUGCAAAUCCAAGCCUGAAGGUCUGCAAAUCCAAGCCUGAAGGUCUGCAAAUCCAAGCCUGAAGGUCUGCAAAUCCAAGCCUGAAGGUCUGCAAAUCCAAGCCUGAAGGUCUGGUUUUCAGGUGAAUUGAGAGUUUGUCACUGAUGGCCAGAAAUUCCACUCACCUGUAACGGAUUCAUUCUAUAGAGCCAACCUGGAACAGAGAUACUGAUAAAGAGCUUCCAUCUUUAGCCGGCCUCCGCCCUGUCCUGAACCUUAGACACUGUCACUUAUUGGCUACCAACAGGUACUCUACCCUGCACCUUAGAGACUGCUGCGCUAUGUACAUACAGUAGUCAUUAAAUAAUGUAAUAAUGUUUACAUACUUUCUACUUUUAAUAUACAGGGCCUUCAGGAAGUACUCACACCACUUGACUUUUUCCACAUGUUGUUGUGUUAAAGCCUGCAUUUAAAAUAGAUUACAUUGAGAUUUGGUGUCACCAGCCUACACACAAUACCCCAUAAUGUCAAACUGGAAAUAUGUUUUUAGAAAUCUUUACAUAUUAAUAAAAAAAUAUAAGCUGAAA